RNAcentral lists this ribosomal RNA (496 nucleotides) under uncultured bacterium. RNAcentral's name for it is "partial 16S ribosomal RNA". It matches the Rfam family "Bacterial small subunit ribosomal RNA", at positions 29 to 507 of the family's 1533-position model. The record is from RNAcentral.
AUGAACGCUAGCGGCGUGCCUAAUACAUGCAAGUCGAGCGAACGGACGAGAAGCUUGCUUCUCUGAUGUUAGCGGCGGACGGGUGAGUAACACGUGGAUAACCUACCUAUAAGACUGGGAUAACUUCGGGAAACCGGAGCUAAUACCGGAUAAUAUUUUGAACCGCAUGGUUCAAAAGUGAAAGACGGUCUUGCUGUCACUUAUAGAUGGAUCCGCGCUGCAUUAGCUAGUUGGUAAGGUAACGGCUUACCAAGGCAACGAUGCAUAGCCGACCUGAGAGGGUGAUCGGCCACACUGGAACUGAGACACGGUCCAGACUCCUACGGGAGGCAGCAGUAGGGAAUCUUCCGCAAUGGGCGAAAGCCUGACGGAGCAACGCCGCGUGAGUGAUGAAGGUCUUCGGAUCGUAAAACUCUGUUAUUAGGGAAGAACAUAUGUGUAAGUAACUGUGCACAUCUUGACGGUACCUAAUCAGAAAGCCACGGCUAACUACGUG